Molecule: ribosomal RNA, 235 nt
Filed under: uncultured bacterium
Lineage: Bacteria
Description: partial 16S ribosomal RNA
Rfam family: Bacterial small subunit ribosomal RNA
Source: RNAcentral
UGUUCGGAUUUAUUGGGCGUAAAGGGUGCGUAGGCGGCGGAGUAAGUUGGGUGUGAAAUCCCGGGGCUUAACCUCGGAAUUGCAUUCAAUACUGCUUCGCUUGAGUACUGGAGAGGAGGCUGGAAUUUACGGUGUAGCAGUGAAAUGCGUAGAUAUCGUAAGGAAGGCCGGUGGCGAAAGCGAGACUCUGGACAGUUACUGACGCUGAUGCACGAAGGCCAGGGGAGCAAACGGG